This 505-nucleotide ribosomal RNA is filed under the name uncultured bacterium. RNAcentral's name for it is "bacterial SSU rRNA". It matches the Rfam family "Bacterial small subunit ribosomal RNA", at positions 8 to 507 of the family's 1533-position model. The record is from RNAcentral.
AGAGUUUGAUCAUGGCUCAGGUUUAACGCUGGCGGCGUGCCUAAUACAUGCAAGUCGAACGGAACACUAUUUUUGAGAACCUCGCUCCUUUGCGGGAUUGUCAUCAGUAGUGUUUAGUGGCGGACGGGUGAGUAACACGUUGGUACCUGCCCUUUAGUGGGGAAUAACUCGGCGAAAGUCGGGGCUAAUACCGCAUGUGAUCCUUCGGGGAUUUAAAAGGCCCUUCGGGGCGCUAAAGGAGGGGCCUGCGUCUGAUUAGCUUGUUGGUAAGGUAAUGGGCUUACCAAGGCGAUGAUCAGUAGCUGGUUCGAGAGGAUGAUCAGCCACACUGGAACUGAGAUACGGUCCAGACUCCUACGGGAGGCAGCAGUAAGGAAUCUUCCGCAAUGGACGAAAGUCUGACGGAGCAACGCCGCGUGCAGGAUGAAGGCUUUCGGGUCGUAAACUGCUUUUGUAUGGGAAGAUUAUGACGGUACCAUACGAAUAAGGACCGGCUAACUACGUG